UACGUAGGGUGCAAGCGUUGUCCGGAAUUAUUGGGCGUAAAGAGCUCGUAGGCGGUCUGUCGCGUCGGAUGUGAAAACCCAGGGCUCAACCCUGGGCCUGCAUUCGAUACGGGCAGACUAGAGUUCGGUAGGGGAGACUGGAAUUCCUGGUGUAGCGGUGAAAUGCGCAGAUAUCAGGAGGAACACCGGUGGCGAAGGCGGGUCUCUGGGCCGAUACUGACGCUGAGGCACGAAAGCGUGGGGAGCAAACAGG
RNAcentral lists this ribosomal RNA (253 nucleotides) under uncultured bacterium. Its description in RNAcentral is "partial 16S ribosomal RNA". It matches the Rfam family "Bacterial small subunit ribosomal RNA", at positions 524 to 776 of the family's 1533-position model. The record is from RNAcentral.